Molecule: long non-coding RNA, 379 nt
Organism: Carassius auratus (goldfish)
Lineage: Eukaryota; Metazoa; Chordata; Actinopteri; Cypriniformes; Cyprinidae
Exons: 3
Source: RefSeq, a predicted model, not a curated record
AGCGGUCUUGAAUAUUUCUGUAUAUUAGGUGUAGAAAAACAAUAUUAAAGACAGGAAGUGCAUAACAGAUCCAGUGGUGUAGUUGGUAAACAGGCAAAGCGCCCUCUGGAGUCAUUUUUAACAAGAUGGACGCGGGUUCGAAUCCGGCACAUACAGCAGACAUAUGCUUCCCAGUAACAGCGUCCAGUCAGACUCUCUCUACACAGAACCUGAUGACACUCAAAUCUCUCUGGAUGAUCAGGAUAGGGCUGCUUGUCUGUCACACGUGUCACCUUUCUGUUCCUCUCAGACAGAGACAGAUCAAACUCAUCCAGCACCUCGUCUGAUAUCUGAAGCAUGUAGGCAAGUGUUGAGCAUUGAGACGGAGAGAGUUGAUUGU